This 462-nucleotide ribosomal RNA is filed under the name uncultured bacterium. RNAcentral describes it as "partial 16S ribosomal RNA". It matches the Rfam family "Bacterial small subunit ribosomal RNA", at positions 28 to 507 of the family's 1533-position model. The record is from RNAcentral.
GACGAACGCUGGCGGCGUGCUUAACACAUGCAAGUCGAGCGGUAAGGCCUUUCGGGGUACACGAGCGGCGAACGGGUGAGUAACACGUGGGUGAUCUGCCCUGCACUUCGGGAUAAGCCUGGGAAACUGGGUCUAAUACCGGAUAUGACCUCCUAUCGCAUGGUGGGUGGUGGAAAGAUUUAUCGGUGCAGGAUGGGCCCGCGGCCUAUCAGCUUGUUGGUGGGGUAAUGGCCUACCAAGGCGACGACGGGUAGCCGACCUGAGAGGGUGACCGGCCACACUGGGACUGAGACACGGCCCAGACUCCUACGGGAGGCAGCAGUGGGGAAUAUUGCAUAAUGGGCGAAAGCCUGAUGCAGCGACGCCGCGUGAGGGAUGACGGCCUUCGGGUUGUAAACCUCUUUCAGCAGGGACGAAGCGCAAGUGACGGUACCUGCAGAAGAAGCACCGGCUAACUACGUG